RNAcentral lists this ribosomal RNA (503 nucleotides) under uncultured bacterium. Its description in RNAcentral is "partial 16S ribosomal RNA". It matches the Rfam family "Bacterial small subunit ribosomal RNA", at positions 29 to 523 of the family's 1533-position model. The record is from RNAcentral.
AUUGAACGCUGGCGGCAGGCCUAACACAUGCAAGUCGAACGGUAGCACAGAGAGCUUGCUCUCGGGUGACGAGUGGCGGACGGGUGAGUAACGUCUGGGAAACUGCCCGAUGGAGGGGGAUAACUACUGGGAACGGUAGCUAAUACCGCAUAACGUCGCAAGACCAAAGUGGGGGACCUUCGGGCCUCACACCAUCGGAUGUGCCAGAUGGGAUUAGCUAGUAGGUGGGGUAAUGGCUCACCUAGGCGACGAUCCCUAGCUGGUCUGAGAGGAUGACCAGCCACACUGGAACUGAGACACGGUCCAGACUCCUACGGGAGGCAGCAGUGGGGAAUAUUGCACAAUGGGCGCAAGCCUGAUGCAGCCAUGCCGCGUGUAUGAAGAAGGCCUUCGGGUUGUAAAGUACUUUCAGCGGGGAGGAAGGCGGUGAAGUUAAUAGCUUCACCGAUUGACGUUACCCGCAGAAGAAGCACCGGCUAACUCCGUGCCAGCCGCCGCGGUAA